UUGUUGUGGUUAAAAAGCUCGUAGUUGGAUCUCGGCGGUCUGAGGGCGGUUCGCUUGAUUGAGAGCUACUGCUCUAUAGGCCGUGGUUUUGCCAGAGGUCUCGGGGUGCUCUUAACCGAGUGUCCUGCGAUGCUGGCAGGUUUACUUUGAAAAAAUUAGAGUGCUCAAAGCAGGCUUUUACGCCUGAAUAUUCGUGCAUGGAAUAAUAGAAUAGGAAGUCGUUUCUAUUUUGUUGGUUUUCGGAAAUCGACUUAAUGAUUAAUAGGGACAGUCGGGGGCAUUUGUAUUCAAACGACAGAGGUGAAAUUCUUGGACCGUUUGAAGACAAACUACUGCGAAAGCAUUUGCCAAGAAUGUUUUCAUUAAUCAAGAACGAAAGUUAGAGGU
RNAcentral lists this ribosomal RNA (387 nucleotides) under uncultured marine eukaryote. RNAcentral describes it as "SSU rRNA". It matches the Rfam family "Eukaryotic small subunit ribosomal RNA", at positions 610 to 997 of the family's 1831-position model. The record is from RNAcentral.